UACGAUACGAGUUUGAUCCUGGCUCAGAACGAACGCUGGCGGCAUGCCUAACACAUGCAAGUCGAACGAAGGCUUCGGCCUUAGUGGCGCACGGGUGCGUAACGCGUGGGAACCUGCCCCUCGGUUCGGAAUAACAGUUAGAAAUGACUGCUAAUACCGGAUGAUGACUUCGGUCCAAAGAUUUAUCGCCGAGGGAUGGGCCCGCGUAGGAUUAGCUAGUUGGUGGGGUAAAGGCCUACCAAGGCGACGAUCCUUAGCUGGUCUGAGAGGAUGAUCAGCCACACUGGGACUGAGACACGGCCCAGACUCCUACGGGAGGCAGCAGUGGGGAAUAUUGGACAAUGGGCGAAAGCCUGAUCCAGCAAUGCCGCGUGAGUGAUGAAGGCCUUAGGGUUGUAAAGCUCUUUUACCAGGGAUGAUAAUGACAGUACCUGGAGAAUAAGCUCCGGCUAACUCCGUG
RNAcentral lists this ribosomal RNA (460 nucleotides) under uncultured bacterium. RNAcentral's name for it is "bacterial SSU rRNA". It matches the Rfam family "Bacterial small subunit ribosomal RNA", at positions 1 to 507 of the family's 1533-position model. The record is from RNAcentral.